RNAcentral lists this ribosomal RNA (616 nucleotides) under uncultured bacterium. RNAcentral's name for it is "bacterial SSU rRNA". The stretch from base 1 to 525 matches the Rfam family "Bacterial small subunit ribosomal RNA", at positions 338 to 873 of the family's 1533-position model. The record is from RNAcentral.
CCUACGGGAGGCAGCAGUGGGGAAUAUUGGACAAUGGGCGGAAGCCUGAUCCAGCAACGCCGCGUGAGGGAUGACUGCCUUCGGGUUGUAAACCUCUUUCAGCACAGACGAAGCGAAAGUGACGGUAUGUGCAGAAGAAGCACCGGCCAACUACGUGCCAGCAGCCGCGGUAAUACGUAGGGUGCGAGCGUUGUCCGGAAUUAUUGGGCGUAAAGGGCUCGUAGGCGGUUUGUCGCGUCGGGAGUGAAAACACACAGCUUAACUGUGUGCUUGCUUCCGAUACGGGCAGACUAGAGGUAUGCAGGGGAGAACGGAAUUCCGUGGUGUAGCGGUGAAAUGCGCAGAUAUCAGGAGGAACACCGGUGGCGAAGGCGGUUCUCUGGGCAUUACCCUGACGCUGAGGAGCGAAAGUGUGGGGAGCGAACAGGGAUUAGAUACCCUGGUAGUCCACACCGUAAACGUUGGGCGCUAGGUGUGGGGCCUAUUCCUAUGGUUCGGUGUCGCGNGCUACGCAUAGCGCCCGCCGUCGGGNGGUACGGCCGCGACGGACGUAAACGUAACGUAAGUAAGUUAGACGUCGUUGAGACGUUGCCGACGGCGACGACGAGGGAGGAGG